This 76-nucleotide transfer RNA is filed under the name Gammaproteobacteria bacterium. RNAcentral describes it as "tRNA-Lys". It matches the Rfam family "tRNA". From Rfam's summary of the family: Transfer RNA (tRNA) molecules are approximately 80 nucleotides in length. RNAcentral also lists the same sequence under 2 other names. The record is from RNAcentral. Lineage: Bacteria; Pseudomonadati; Pseudomonadota; Gammaproteobacteria.
GGGUCGUUAGCUCAGUUGGUAGAGCACCGGGCUUUUAACCCGUUGGUCCUCGGUUCGAACCCGAGACGACCCACCA